This 701-nucleotide ribosomal RNA is filed under the name Microbacterium esteraromaticum. RNAcentral's name for it is "bacterial SSU rRNA". It matches the Rfam family "Bacterial small subunit ribosomal RNA", at positions 426 to 1138 of the family's 1533-position model. Lineage: Bacteria; Bacillati; Actinomycetota; Actinomycetes; Micrococcales; Microbacteriaceae. The record is from RNAcentral.
UAACCUUCUUUUAGCAGGGAAGAAGCGAAAGGAACGGUACCUGCAGAAAAAGCACCGGCUAUUUACGUGCCAGCAGCCGCCGUAAUACGUAGGGUGCAAGCGUUAUCCGGAAUUAUUGGGCGUAAAGAGCUCGUAGGCGGUCUGUCGUGUCUGCUGUGAAAUCCCGAGGCUCAACCUCGGGCUUGCAGUGGGUACGGGCAGACUAGAGUGCGGUAGGGGAGAUUGGAAUUCCUGGUGUAGCGGUGGAAUGCGCAGAUAUCAGGAGGAACACCGAUGGCGAAGGCAGAUCUUUGGGCCGUAACUGACGAUGAGGAGCGAAAGGGUGGGGAGCAAACAGGCUUAGAUACCCUGGUAGUCCACCCCGUAAACGUUGGGAACUAGUUGUGGGGUCCUUUCCACGGAUUCCGUGACGCAGCUAACGCAUUAAGUUCCCCGCCUGGGGAGUACGGCCGCAAGGCUAAAACUCAAAGGAAUUGACGGGGACCCGCACAAGCGGCGGAGCAUGCGGAUUAAUUCGAUGCAACGCGAAGAACCUUACCAAGGCUUGACAUACACGAGAACGGGCCAGAAAUGGUCAACUCUUUGGACACUCGUGAACAGGUGGUGCAUGGUUGUCGUCAGCUCGUGUCGUGAGAUGUUGGGUUAAGUCCUGCAUGGAGACCAACCUCUCGUUUUAUCUGAACAGCACGUAAUACGUUCAC